UACGUAGGUGGCAAGCGUUGUCCGGAAUUAUUGGGCGUAAAGCGCGCGUAGGCGGUCCUUUAAGUCUGAUGUGAAAGCCCACGGCUCAACCGUGGAGGGUCAUUGGAAACUGGGCGACUUGAGUGCAGGAGAGAAGAGUGGAAUUCCACGUGUAGCGGUGAAAUGCGUAGAGAUGUGGAGGAACACCAGUGGCGAAGGCGACUCUUUGGCCUGUAACUGACGCUGAGGCGCGAAAGCGUGGGGAGCAAACAGG
Molecule: ribosomal RNA, 253 nt
Filed under: uncultured bacterium
Lineage: Bacteria
Description: partial 16S ribosomal RNA
Rfam family: Bacterial small subunit ribosomal RNA
Source: RNAcentral